This 510-nucleotide ribosomal RNA is filed under the name bacterium enrichment culture clone ALO1_GLFRUDD03FYGA7. Its description in RNAcentral is "bacterial SSU rRNA". It matches the Rfam family "Bacterial small subunit ribosomal RNA", at positions 9 to 514 of the family's 1533-position model. The record is from RNAcentral.
GAGUUUGAUCGUGGCUCAGAUUGAACGCUGGCGGCAGGCCUAACACAUGCAAGUCGAGCGGAUGACGGGAGCUUGCUCCUUGAUUCAGCGGCGGACGGGUGAGUAAUGCCUAGGAAUCUGCCUGGUAGUGGGGGACAACGUUUCGAAAGGAACGCUAAUACCGCAUACGUCCUACGGGAGAAAGCAGGGGACCUUCGGGCCUUGCGCUAUCAGAUGAGCCUAGGUCGGAUUAGCUAGUUGGUGGGGUAAUGGCUCACCAAGGCGACGAUCCGUAACUGGUCUGAGAGGAUGAUCAGUCACACUGGAACUGAGACACGGUCCAGACUCCUACGGGAGGCAGCAGUGGGGAAUAUUGGACAAUGGGCGAAGGCCUGAUCCAGCCAUGCCGCGUGUGUGAAGAAGGUCUUCGGAUUGUAAAGCACUUUAAGUUGGGAGGAAGGGCAGUAAGUUAAUACCUUGCUGUUUUGACGUUACCGACAGAAUAAGCACCGGCUAACUCUGUGCCAGCAG